Molecule: ribosomal RNA, 428 nt
Organism: Gossypium raimondii (Peruvian cotton)
Lineage: Eukaryota; Viridiplantae; Streptophyta; Magnoliopsida; Malvales; Malvaceae
Rfam family: Bacterial large subunit ribosomal RNA
Source: Rfam
UGUGGGAUCGACACUCGAGCGACCUUCAACAAAAGGGUAGUUUUACCCGAAACUAACAUAGGUGGGUAGGUAGAGAAUACCUAGGAGCACAAGACAACUCUCUCUAAGUAACUCGACAAAAUAUCCCUGUAACUUCGAGAGGUGCCUCCUCAAAAAGGGGGUUGCAGUGACCAGGCCUGGGCAAGUGUUUACCAAAACCACAAGUACAAAAAACACAAGUCUCCGCAAAGUUGUAAGACCAUGUAUGGGGCUGACGCCUGCCUAGUGCCGAAAGGUCAAGGAAGUUGGUGAAUUGGUGACAAGGGAGCCGACAACCAAAGCCUCGGUGGACAGGGACCGUAACUAUAGCGGUCCUAAGGUAGUGAAAUUCCUUGUUGGGAAGUUUCGACUCGCAUGAAAGGUGUAACAAUCUCUAACUACAAGUUUUG